Molecule: ribosomal RNA, 253 nt
Filed under: uncultured bacterium
Lineage: Bacteria
Description: partial 16S ribosomal RNA
Rfam family: Bacterial small subunit ribosomal RNA
Source: RNAcentral
UACAGAGGUCUCAAGCGUUGUUCGGAUUCAUUGGGCGUAAAGGGUGCGUAGGCGGCGCGGUAAGUCGGGUGUGAAAUCUCGGAGCUUAACUCCGAAACUGCAUUCGAUACUGCCGUGCUUGAGGACUGGAGAGGAGACUGGAAUUUACGGUGUAGCGGUGAAAUGCGUAGAUAUCGUAAGGAAGACCAGUGGCGAAGGCGGGUCUCUGGGCCUUACCUGACGCUCAGGCGCGAAAGCUAGGGGAGCGAACAGG